UAGCCUAAGUUGACAUUCAGUCACAAACAUUCAUAUGUACUAGGCCCAGUAAGUCACUCAUUCUUUCUCCAUAUCCAGUAAAUGAAGUCUUGGAUAUUUUAUCUAUAAGAUAAGAUUCAUAAGUUCCAUAUGACUCAAAAUUAUAAGGAUCAAAAAAUUUUUCUUUGUAUAACUUGUUAAUCCUUGACUCAUUGAUAUAACCAAGUCGAUAGUGCCAG
RNAcentral lists this long non-coding RNA (218 nucleotides) under Elaeis guineensis (African oil palm). RNAcentral's name for it is "long non-coding RNA (EGUI_LNC053617)". The record is from RNAcentral. Lineage: Eukaryota; Viridiplantae; Streptophyta; Magnoliopsida; Arecales; Arecaceae.